CUUUACACAUGCAAGUCGAACGGCAGCACGGGAGCUUGCUCCUGGUGGCGAGUGGCGAACGGGUGAGUAAUACAUAGGAACAUACCCAGUAAUGGGGGAUAACGCCGAGAAAUCGGUGCUAAUACCGCAUACGCCCUACGGGGGAAGGCGGGGGAUCUUCGGACCUCGCGUUAUUGGAUUGGCCUAUGUCUGAUUAGCUAGUUGGUGAGGUAAAGGCUCACCAAGGCGACGAUCAGUAGCUGGUCUGAGAGGAUGAUCAGCCACACUGGAACUGAGACACGGUCCAGACUCCUACGGGAGGCAGCAGUGGGGAAUUUUGGACAAUGGGCGAAAGCCUGAUCCAGCCAUUCCGCGUGAGUGAAGAAGGCCUUCGGGUUGUAAAGCUCUUUCGGCAGGAACGAAAUGGUUGCGGUUAAUAACCGCGACUUCUGACGGUACCUGAAGAAGAAGCACCGGCUAACUACGUGCCAGCAGCCGCGGUAAUACGUAGGGUGCGAGCGUUAAUCGGAAUUACUGGGCGUAAAGCGUGCGCAGGCGGUUUUGUAAGUCAGAUGUGAAAGCCCCGGGCUUAACCUGGGAAUGGCGUUUGAAACUGCAAGGCUAGAGUGUGUCAGA
This 615-nucleotide ribosomal RNA is filed under the name uncultured bacterium. RNAcentral describes it as "bacterial SSU rRNA". It matches the Rfam family "Bacterial small subunit ribosomal RNA", at positions 47 to 655 of the family's 1533-position model. The record is from RNAcentral.